AAUUUCCUUUUUUGAAAGCUACAUCAUUAUUGUGUGAUAGAUUGAUGUUUUCAUUUGUUUUUACUGCAAAAAAAAAAAAAAAAAAAAAACUCUAAAACGAACCAAGUCUACAAAUCUAAGCUCCUCCAUAAAGCUUUUCUCUUAGGCCUGUUGAAGGCAUGGCAAUGCUGUUGCAAGGUUUAUACAGAAUGACGGUGCUUUCUUUAAGUAUUGUCUGACAGGUCAAUUCAAAAUCUUUAUUAUGGUCUAUGAUAAAUUCUCUUUAAUUUCUGUCUUUUGUCACCUAGAUGUACUUUUCAUUUUUUCUCGUGAGAUUUAUAAUUCUUAGUUGUCAUUGUGGUGAAAAAAUGUAGAUGUUGCUACAGGGAACCAUAUCUUCAAAUAAUUAUCUGAGGACUCAUUUUCUUGGUAGGAAGAGUCUUGAGCCAUCUCGGAAGAGAAGGGGCUUUUCUUUUUUCCUUUUAACAUAACUUCUCAAUAUUCGUGAAACUGUACACGUUUAUAUGAGGCUUGAUUAUUUAAAAUGUCUUUAAUUCAUCUUUUUGUGAAUUGGUUCUUUCUUUGGGUUUUGGUUUUUCGUUGUUGUUCCGCAAUGGUGAGUUGGCCUUCUACAACCGUGGCGAUGUCAAAGAACUCCGGUUGCAAAAUGGCGUGAGAGAGAAUUAACACAGGUUCUUCAUUAUUCUCUGCAGAAUACACUUGUUUUCCAAAAAAAAAAAGGAAAAAAGAAAAGUGUUAGCUGAACCCAAGGCGGCAGCAAAAGGGUCGCCAUCUCUUUUUAUUUGGAAAAUGAAGCUGCUGACACCGGUUUUGUUAGAAAAGCAUUGACUGAUGUCAACAAUGUUCAAAGCAAUGUGGAGGAAUUUACCACGUACUAGCUUAAAACCAUUUUAAAAGCUCUCAGAAAAUGUCACAUCUCAGUUUGAAUCCGCAAAGCGAAUGAGGCCCAAAUGUCUGUUAUUCAAAUUGUUUCAUUUUGUUGUUAUGCCAUAAGUUUUGUUCUGGUUCCUUUGUUAUGCAAUUGAUAACAUACAUUGUAACAUCAGGUGCUUGAGAAAUUACAUGUUUUAGGACUCCAUGUAUUAGGUUAA
This is a long non-coding RNA of Morus notabilis, 1091 nucleotides long. RefSeq lists it as uncharacterized. Lineage: Eukaryota; Viridiplantae; Streptophyta; Magnoliopsida; Rosales; Moraceae. The transcript has 4 exons. The record is from RefSeq and is a predicted model, not a curated record.